CCUACGGGUGGCAGCAGUGGGGAAUAUUGGACAAUGGGGGGAACCCUGAUCCAGCGACGCCGCGUGAGUGAAGAAGUAUUUCGGUAUGUAAAGCUCUAUCAGCAGGGAAGAAAAUGACGGUACCUGACCACGAAGCCGCGGCUAACUACGUGCCAGCAGCCGCGGUAAUACGUAGGGGGCAAGCGUUAUCCGGAUGUACUGGGUGUAAAGGGAGCGUAGACGGUGCAGCAAGUCUGCUGUGAAAGGUCGGGGGCCAAACCCGGGACUGCAGUGGAAACUGGUGAGCUGGAGUACAGGAGAGGUAAGCGGAAUGCCUGGUGUAGCGGUGAAAUGCUUAGAUAUUAGGAGGAACCCCAGUGGCGAAGGCGGCGUACUGGACUGUAACUGACGUUGAGGCUCGAAAGCGUGGGGAGCAAACAGGAUUAGAUACCCGAGUAGUC
This 440-nucleotide ribosomal RNA is filed under the name uncultured bacterium. Its description in RNAcentral is "partial 16S ribosomal RNA". It matches the Rfam family "Bacterial small subunit ribosomal RNA", at positions 338 to 795 of the family's 1533-position model. The record is from RNAcentral.